GUGACAGGUGGCAUUUAACAUCAUAACAUCAAACAUGGAUGACAAGAAAAAGAAUCCACCUGAAGCACAAUUUAUUUCUUUUCAAGAUUAUUCACCGAUUCAUCGAUCAGGAGGUACAGGUCAAGCACAAUUAGAUAUUGGAACUUCUGGUCAUCAGCCUUAUGUCAAUUUCACAAAUGAUCCUACUGGAAAUCAAAUGGUUAGAGAUCUUGAAGGAAUGCCUAGCACAGAAGAACCGAAACAACGUAAUUUUUGGACUGUGGAGUACUACCAAAAGUUUUUCAAUGUUAAUACCCAGGAUGUUGUUGAGAGAAUAAAGCGGUCAAUGAUUCCGCAUUGGACAGAUAAUUACCUCAAAACCCAUAUAGAACCAAACCCAGAUCUUUACGGGCCAUUUUGGAUUUGUGUCACGUUAGUUUUUUCAAUAGCUGUGAGUGGAAAUAUAGCCAACUAUUUCCAAACUGCAAAUUCCGAAAAGUAUCAUUGGAAAUACGAUUUUCAUGUCAUAUCCGGUGCAUCCACAUGUAUUUUCUUAUAUGCUUGGUUGUUGCCUCUUGCACUCUGGGGUGCUCUAAAAUGGACUGCAAAUCAACCAAGUACACAAGGAGAAUUAAUUGAAGAAACUGCACAAAUUCCAGGUCUUUUACAACUGUUAUGCCUCUACGGCUAUUCCUUGUCAAUUUAUGUGCCAGUCGCUUUUCUUUGGACAAUACAGUAUAGCUGGUUACAAUGGGGUUUAGUAAUUGCUGCUACAGUAUUAUCUGGUGGAGUCUUACUUCUAUCACUUCUUCCAGUUGUGUCUGGAAAACAUAAAUAUAUUUACGUCUCUAUAAUCUUGGGCUUGCACCUUCUAUUAGCGGCUGGCUUUAUGCUCUAUUUCUUUCACGUACCAACGAAAAAUGUAACAGAAGAUAUUGCGACGGCAGCCCCAAAAGUUUUGACACAAGUCACAAAAAUGAUUGCCACGCCAACCAACACCACACAUUGAAUAUUUAUAUAAAAAUUCUUAAAGUUGACUAGCCUAAAUAUUAAGAAUUAUGCAAAAACUUAAUUAAGAUUAUUCUAUAUGAAAAGUGUGAUUCUUUGCUUAGUUUACAAUUUUCAGUCCAAUAUAAAAUUAAAAAAUUAAUUGCAUAAACUGGAAUAUAUCUAUAAGGAGGUUCUUAUUUUGUGAAAGUUGGAAUUUUUUAGGUCGCCUGCUGAAAUUCAUUUUAGAAUGUGAAGAAAUGAGCUGUGCACAAGAACAGUCCAUUUGCUAAAUAUUGACCCGUGCCAUAGAUGGAUUAAAGUUUAAAUGGAAUUUAAGUUUAUUGACAUUUUUUGACAGUUGUCAAAUGACAAAAUGUAUUAAAUUCCUAUAUGGGUGAUUCUCCUGAAAGUGGGCAAUUUCAUGUCUUUGACUUAUAUCUUCUAAAUAACUUAACAUUUAAAUAUUAACAUUGGACAAACAUAUUAUUUAAACAUCACUUAUUAUACCCUUUAUAAAAAACGAUAAUUUUUUAACACAAAUUUAGUGGAAAACAACAUUUAACAGCUGGAAAACAGCAAUUCAAUAUGUCUUAACCUCUGAGUACCAAACUUUAAAGUACUAUUACUUAUAAAAAAAGAACUAUCUUUAAUUAUUCAAUAAAUAUUAUGAAAGAUUAA
Molecule: RNA transcript, 1647 nt
Organism: Leptopilina heterotoma
Lineage: Eukaryota; Metazoa; Arthropoda; Insecta; Hymenoptera; Figitidae
Gene name: protein YIPF1
Exons: 5
Source: RefSeq, a predicted model, not a curated record